ACGUAGGGGGCAAGCGUUAUCCGGAUUUACUGGGUGUAAAGGGAGCGUAGACGGUGAUGUAAGUCAGAUGUGAAAGCCCGGGGCUCAACCCCGGGACUGCAUUUGAAACUAUGUUGCUAGAGUGCAGGAGAGGUAAGUGGAAUUCCUAGUGUAGCGGUGAAAUGCGUAGAUAUUAGGAGGAACACCAGUGGCGAAGGCGGCUUACUGGACUGUAACUGACGUUGAGGCUCGAAAGCGUGGGGAGCAAACAGG
This 252-nucleotide ribosomal RNA is filed under the name uncultured bacterium. Its description in RNAcentral is "partial 16S ribosomal RNA". It matches the Rfam family "Bacterial small subunit ribosomal RNA", at positions 525 to 776 of the family's 1533-position model. The record is from RNAcentral.